AGUGAACGCUGGCGGUAGGCCUAACACAUGCAAGUCGAACGGCAGCACAGUAAGAGCUUGCUCUUACGGGUGGCGAGUGGCGGACGGGUGAGGAAUACAUCGGAAUCUACUUUUUCGUGGGGGAUAACGUAGGGAAACUUACGCUAAUACCGCAUACGACCUACGGGUGAAAGCAGGGGAUCUUCGGACCUUGCGCGAUUGAAUGAGCCGAUGUCGGAUUAGCUAGUUUGCGGGGUAAAGGCCCACCAAGGCGACGAUCCGCAGCUGGUCUGAGAGGAUGAUCAGCCACACUAGAACUGAGACACGGUCCAGACUCCUACGGGAGGCAGCAGUGGGGAAUAUUGGACAAUGGGCGAAAGCCUGAUCCAGCCAUACCGCGUGGGUGAAGAAGGCUUUCGGGUUGUAAAGCCCUUUUGUUGGGAAAGAAAAGCAGCUGGUGAAUACCCCGCUGUUCUGACGGUACCCAAAGAAUAAGCACCGGCUAACUACGUG
This 492-nucleotide ribosomal RNA is filed under the name uncultured bacterium. Its description in RNAcentral is "partial 16S ribosomal RNA". It matches the Rfam family "Bacterial small subunit ribosomal RNA", at positions 29 to 507 of the family's 1533-position model. The record is from RNAcentral.